CAUACACCAGGUCAUACUAUACCAACGUGUCCAGUUUCAUUCAGAGCAAAAUAUCUAGACUAAGCGUUUUACCUGCGAUGUUGGCAGAGCAUUCAACUUCGACCUUGUACGUCCGUCCCGUCUGAACCGCCUGCCCUAAUACAGACUUGUAGUUAGUUAUACGGGCAUACGGACGAGACAGGGUGAGCCAUCCAACCACUCAGUAUUGCUGGGUUCCAGUAAUUAUACAUGAACGAGUGUUCUUUCAAGCAUAUCAUGGUUGAUUAUUAAAUUAAAAAAAAAAAACAUUGAAGUAAAGAAGAUAUAUACAUAUAUCUGCUGUGCCGUUUAACAUAAAUUAUAUUUCUAUUCUCCUUUUUUUGGAGUUUCUUACACAUUAUCACAAGACACUCUGCUAUAUAUUUUUGUGUCUUAGUAUGUAGAUAUUAGGAACUCUUGGACUCUCAUACUCUAAGGUCAUGACAACGAUAAGGUACAUUGUAAUCAACCCCGGCUUAAGCACAAUGAGCACCUUGUACCUGACAAAUAAAACAUCUAUGUGGACGGCUUCCCGGUGGUACAAGAUUUGAAUUGUUUUUUGCACCUCUGCAUCCUGGAUCAAGACGGGUCUCUUUGUCAAUGUACCCACAGAAUAAAUGCCAAAUUCAUCCGUGGUCUUGUGUAGCCACAACAAAACAUACGUAUAUCUGUUGGUAGAUAUUAAUAGAUAAGAUAAGACUAUUACUAAUAAAGCCAAAAUGUUUAUCUUCGAACACACUAAUAAAGUAAUUAGUACAAGCAGAGUUAAAUUUUAUGUAAUUUAUAAUUUAGCA
Molecule: long non-coding RNA, 812 nt
Organism: Vanessa atalanta (red admiral)
Lineage: Eukaryota; Metazoa; Arthropoda; Insecta; Lepidoptera; Nymphalidae
Exons: 3
Source: RefSeq, a predicted model, not a curated record